CCUACGGGAGGCAGCAGUAAGGAAUAUUGGUCAAUGGAGGCAACUCUGAACCAGCCAUGCCGCGUGCAGGAAGACGGCCCUAUGGGUUGUAAACUGCUUUUGAACUAGAGAAAACCUUGGUACGUGUACCGAGUUGAUAGUAUAGUUAGAAUAAGCAUCGGCUAACUUCGUGCCAGCAGCCGCGGUAAGACGAAGGAUGCAAGCGUUAUCCGGAUUCAUUGGGUUUAAAGGGUGCGUAGGCGGACUGAUAAGUCAGUGGUGAAAUCUCUCAGCUUAACUGAGAAACUGCCAUUGAUACUGUUAGUCUAGAGUACAGAUGAUGUGGGCGGAAUAUGACAUGUAGUGGUGAAAUACUUAGAUAUGUCAUAGAACACCGAUUGCGAAGGCAGCUCACAAAACUGUAACUGACGCUGAGGCACGAAAGUGCGGGGAUCAAACAGGAUUAGAUACCCUGGUAGUCCGCACCGUAAACGAUGAUUACUCGUUGUUGGCGAUAUGACAGUCAGCGACCAAGCGAAAGCGAUAAGUAAAUCCACCUGGGGAGUACGCCGGCAACGGUGAAACGUCAAAAUGAAUUGACGGCUUGGAGGACGNGCGACGGACGACACGAGGGGAGGAGG
RNAcentral lists this ribosomal RNA (620 nucleotides) under uncultured bacterium. RNAcentral describes it as "bacterial SSU rRNA". It matches the Rfam family "Bacterial small subunit ribosomal RNA", at positions 338 to 954 of the family's 1533-position model. The record is from RNAcentral.